Molecule: long non-coding RNA, 1437 nt
Organism: Brassica napus (rape)
Lineage: Eukaryota; Viridiplantae; Streptophyta; Magnoliopsida; Brassicales; Brassicaceae
Exons: 2
Source: RefSeq, a predicted model, not a curated record
AGACAAGCAUCUUCUGAGCUCUGCAGACAACAAUUUUGUUCAACCAAGAUUACUUUCAAUUGAAAAUAAGCAAAAACAAAAGAUAUAUUCUUAUUCAUACUUGAAGAAUCAAAACCGCAGCCCAAAUCCAAAUUGACCAAGACAUGACAUGAGAUAUGCCUAUGUCAAUGGACCCAUCAGUCGCCAAGAGGAGCUCUGAAUUGAUAGCAAUCAAUCCCAGCUGUGUUUCACCCAAUCGUAGAAAAAGAACGAAAGCCAAGCUAGCCCGUCCUGCAAAAUCAUACGAGCUUAGCAUACCAGAGAACUACAUCAGUAGCCAAAACAUUUAAUCUUUUGCAAGGAUUGUCGGGAUUCUUGGUAAGGGAAUGACAUCUUAUGUAAUGAUUCUAGCUUUUGAUUGAAGGUAAAAAUGUUUCCAUUUUCAGAUGAUUCUUUGAUCUGUACAAGAAACGCCCUAAAAUCAACUGCUAUAGAAAAGUAGUGCUUCUUGCACCGAACUAUCCAAAAAUCCAAACAAAUAAAAAUUGGAUUCGAAAAUCUAAAUUAGUAUAAGAAAUACGAAACCUAAGCCAAAUAUUCAUUUUCAUGCUUAUUUUGAUAUAAUAACUAAAAUUUAAACACCAAAAUAUUAUUAACUAAAUUCGAAAUGAUUUAGGAUGGAAAAUAGAUCUUAGAUAAAUUAUAAACAUAUCCGAAACAAUUCAAACAUAUAUAAAAUCUUCAAGACUGAAUCCGGAAACACGAUCCGAGGAUACCCAAAACUCCCAAACAAUCUAAAAACGGUUCUAUCAAACCGAGAAAACAACAAACUAAACCAUAACAGAACCGAUGUUAUAAAUUGUACACCUUUUGACUAAAGCCCAUAAAGAUCACUCUUAUCGGGCCCAAAUAUGUACAAGGGUGACUUCGUCGUAUUUCUUCAUUUCCAUAAACCCUAAUUUCGUCUUCAAAAACACAUUUUCAAGCGAGGAGUCUCCGAAGCGAUCGAGAAGAAGAAACCUCUUUAACCCCCGCAAAACAGCAAUGCCGCCGAAGCUUGACCCGAGCCAGAUCGUGGACGUGUACGUCCGCGUAACCGGAGGAGAAGUCGGAGCAGCGAGUUCUCUAGCUCCGAAAAUCGGUUCGCUCGGUCUAGCUCUCCCAAGAAGAUCGCGAAAGAAACCGCCAAGAAGUUCAAGAAGGUGAAGUUGAGAUUCCUGAGAAUUAAUAAAAAGGGGAUUUAAAGAUUUUAUUUUUUUGUUUUUGAGAUUUUAAUUAUGUUUCGGUUGAAAAACGUUUCUGUUGUUUUGCCGCGUUUAUUUAAUCACAGGCUUAUGCAAUGCUUUGCUACUUUUUCAUGACCAUUUUUAAAAUGAAAUGGUGGAACUUUAUGCCUAGGAAUCUCAAUCUGUCUUAGUUGAGUAAAUGCUCAUCAAAUGAUAUUUAACUUUUUUUUUA